RNAcentral lists this ribosomal RNA (246 nucleotides) under uncultured bacterium. RNAcentral's name for it is "partial 16S ribosomal RNA". It matches the Rfam family "Bacterial small subunit ribosomal RNA", at positions 796 to 1041 of the family's 1533-position model. The record is from RNAcentral.
CAUGCCGUAAACGAUGUCUACUAGCCGUUGGGGCCUUUGAGGCCUUAGUGGCGCAGCUAACGCGAUAAGUAGACCGCCUGGGGAGUACGGUCGCAAGACUAAAACUCAAAUGAAUUGACGGGGGCCCGCACAAGCGGUGGAGCAUGUGGUUUAAUUCGAUGCAACGCGAAGAACCUUACCUGGCCUUGACAUAGUAAGAACUUUCCAGAGAUGGAUUGGUGCCUUCGGGAGCUUACAUACAGGUGC